This 497-nucleotide ribosomal RNA is filed under the name uncultured bacterium. RNAcentral describes it as "partial 16S ribosomal RNA". It matches the Rfam family "Bacterial small subunit ribosomal RNA", at positions 28 to 507 of the family's 1533-position model. The record is from RNAcentral.
GAUGAACGCUGGCGGCGUGCCUAAUACAUGCAAGUCGAGCGAACGGACGAGAAGCUUGCUUCUCUGAUGUUAGCGGCGGACGGGUGAGUAACACGUGGAUAACCUACCUAUAAGACUGGGAUAACUUCGGGAAACCGGAGCUAAUACCGGAUAAUAUUUUGAACCGCAUGGUUCAAUAGUGAAAGACGGUCUUGCUGUCACUUAUCGAUGGAUCCGCGCUGCAUUAGCUAGUUGGUAAGGUAACGGCUUACCAAGGCAACGAUGCAUAUCCGACCUGAGAGGGUGAUCGGCCACACGGGAAGUGAGACACGGUCCAGGCUCCUACGGGAGGCAGCAGUAGGGAAUCGUCCGCAAUGGGCGAAAGCCUGACGGAGCAACGCCGCGUGAGUGAUGAAGGUCUUCGGAUCGUAAAACUCUGUUAUUAGGGAAGAACAUAUGUGUAAGUAACUGUGCACAUCUUGACGGUACCUAAUCAGAAAGCCACGGCUAACUACGUG